UACGAAGGUGGCAAGCGUUAUUCGGAUUUACUGGGCGUAAAGCGUGCGCAGGCGGUUUUGUAAGUCUGUCGUGAAAUCCCCGGGCUUAACCUGGGAAUGGCGAUGGAGACUGCAAGGCUGGAGUUUGGCAGAGGGAUGUGGAAUUCCAGGUGUAGCGGUGAAAUGCGUAGAUAUCUGGAGGAACACCGGUGGCGAAGGCGGCAUCCUGGACCGGUAUUGACGCUGAGGCGCGAAAGCUAGGGGAGCAAACGGG
This 253-nucleotide ribosomal RNA is filed under the name uncultured prokaryote. RNAcentral's name for it is "partial 16S ribosomal RNA". It matches the Rfam family "Bacterial small subunit ribosomal RNA", at positions 524 to 776 of the family's 1533-position model. The record is from RNAcentral.